This 363-nucleotide ribosomal RNA is filed under the name uncultured bacterium. Its description in RNAcentral is "bacterial SSU rRNA". It matches the Rfam family "Bacterial small subunit ribosomal RNA", at positions 338 to 719 of the family's 1533-position model. The record is from RNAcentral.
CCUACGGGAGGCAGCAGUGGGGAAUAUUGGACAAUGGGCGAAAGCCUGAUCCAGCAAUGCCGCGUGAGUGAAGAAGGCCUUCGGGUUGUAAAGCUCUUUUACCCGGGAAGAUAAUGACUGUACCGGGAGAAUAAGCCCCGGCUAACUCCGUGCCAGCAGCCGCGGUAAUACGGAGGGGCUAGCGUUGUUCGGAAUUACUGGGCGUAAAGCGUACGUAGGCGGCUUUGUAAGUCAGAGGUGAAAGCCCACGACUCAAUCGUGGAACUGCCUUCGAGACUGCUUCGCUUGAAGAUGGGAGAGGUUAGUGGAAUUCCGAGUGUAGAGGUGAAAUUCGUAGAUAUUCGGAAGAACACCAGUGGNGAG